This 301-nucleotide ribosomal RNA is filed under the name uncultured bacterium. Its description in RNAcentral is "partial 16S ribosomal RNA". It matches the Rfam family "Bacterial small subunit ribosomal RNA", at positions 509 to 809 of the family's 1533-position model. The record is from RNAcentral.
CAGUAGCCGCGGGAAUACGAAGGGUGCAAGCGUUAAUCGGAAUUACUGGGCGUAAAGCGCGCGUAGGUGGUUUGGUAAGAUGGAUGUGAAAUCCCCGGGCUCAACCUGGGAACUGCAUCCAUAACUGCCUGACUAGAGUACGGUAGAGGGUGGUGGAAUUUCCUGUGUAGCGGUGAAAUGCGUAGAUAUAGGAAGGAACACCAGUGGCGAAGGCGACCACCUGGACUGAUACUGACACUGAGGUGCGAAAGCGUGGGGAGCAAACAGGAUUAGAUACCCGCGUAGUCCCUGUCUCUUAUAU